This is a long non-coding RNA of Olea europaea var. sylvestris, 252 nucleotides long. RefSeq lists it as uncharacterized. Lineage: Eukaryota; Viridiplantae; Streptophyta; Magnoliopsida; Lamiales; Oleaceae. The transcript has 4 exons. The record is from RefSeq and is a predicted model, not a curated record.
CUAAAAAAAAGAAAUUGAGAAAAUUUUAGAUGGUAAAGAUUGCUUAGGUGAUUACAGCCACUGGCAGUGACGAAGGCAGUUACGGUCAAGGACAAGAUCUAGCUACCUUCUAUUUGGCCGCGAAAAGCCUAUGCACAAGGUCCUAGGCAGAGGGAAAUGUCCUGUAGCAGAAUAUGCAUUCCAUUGACAAGCAAGGAUUAUGGGACCUUCAACAGUCCUUAUUCUGGAGCAAUCUUUCACAUCACUGCCCAU